Molecule: long non-coding RNA, 1017 nt
Filed under: Helianthus annuus (common sunflower)
Lineage: Eukaryota; Viridiplantae; Streptophyta; Magnoliopsida; Asterales; Asteraceae
Source: RNAcentral
AAAUCAUUACGAAAGAUUUCGUUAUUAAUUACCAGGAUUUCGUAAUCAUUUCAAAAGAUUUUAAAAAUCUGAAAAACAGGCCCUACGCGACCCGCAUUGCAUGUUUGGCGGCCCGCAUUAGAAACGCAUGGAACUCCCAUGCGGGCCGCAUUAGACGCCCAGAUGCAGAAUGUUUGGACAGACUUGCCUUUUGAGCUUGUGAACGAUCAAAUCUUCAAUUAAUGAAGCAUGGGCGCCCCCUACUCGACCCAUAACACUUAGGGACACCUGCCCACCAUCCAUGAUCAGUUGUAGCAUGAGUUGUGAUGAUCUAAAGGCCUUUUGAACAUUAUAAAUAGCCACAUUGUGAGCAUAUGUUCACCACACCUCAAACAACUCAUCUACUGAUCAUUCUAAGCUCUCAAGUCCUUUUCUCUGCUCUAUAAGCAAGAACACACUUCUGUAAGUCGUUCACAACCAUUGUGGUCAUGCAUUUCCAUAGUUUUAGCUUAGAAACUCAACCGUCGUAACUAACGGUUGUCAUUACAAUAACUUGCAAAUGGUUCAGUCUUAUGACGAAUCAAAAGUGGUUAUAAGUUGGUAUCAAUGAGGGUAAUAAACCCCUAAAAGGGUUCCCCCUGAUCACCACUCUAACUAUGUCAAAUAUCGAGUCAAACGUGCGGUUAAAAAGUCAACAGGAAGCUAUUUUAGCGAUUUAUGCAUAAUCUGUAAUGUACAUACUAUGGAACCUGUUUUGACAAUCAUAAAACAUGAUAAUAAGUAUAUAAACUUGUUUGCGCUCGUUUGAAUCGAUCAUUUGCUAUAUUGAACCGGACUCUCUUAGGACCAGGUCACAUGUCGGUAUAAACCUCAGUGAUCGGUUCAUGAGUUACCCGAGUCUUUUGCGCAAUUCCGUCAUUCGCCUAAAAGUUGACCGUAACGGCCUUUUGAAAUUAAAAUGAGUAUUUCGGACACGUGAACGGACCAAAACCUUGCUUAUUAAAUUAGAAGCAUGUCCUUAAAGUUUCACGUCAAUCC